This 253-nucleotide ribosomal RNA is filed under the name uncultured bacterium. Its description in RNAcentral is "partial 16S ribosomal RNA". It matches the Rfam family "Bacterial small subunit ribosomal RNA", at positions 524 to 776 of the family's 1533-position model. The record is from RNAcentral.
UACGGAGGGUGCAAGCGUUGUUCGGAAUUACUGGGCGUAAAGGGCGCGUAGGUGGUUGUGUAAGUCAGAUGUGAAAUCCUUAGGCUCAACCUGAGAACUGCAUCUGAUACUGCACGACUCGAGUACAGCAGAGGGAAACGGAAUUCCUGGUGUAGAGGUGAAAUUCGUAGAUAUCAGGAGGAACACCGGUGGCGAAGGCGGUUUCCUGGGCUGAUACUGACACUGAGGCGCGAAAGCGUGGGGAGCAAACAGG